AGUGGAUUUCAAUGAUAUAGUUUGUUAGAGAGCAUUGGGGUUAUGGGGUUAGAGAGUGAAGCAUCUUCAAUUCAAAGCUAUUUCAAUGACAGAAGAAGCAAACCAUAGCAGCAGUGACAUGAAAGGUCUUCCCAAAGUGCUGGUUUUGGGUCCUCCUUUUAUCUUCUCAUCACUUGAACCUCUUUACUCUCACAAAUUCCAUUUUCUCAAAUCUCACCUCUCAGAUCUCUCGCUUCAACACUACCUUCAACUCCACCACCCUCCCUCUAUUACCGCUAUUCUCUGUGGCACCGGCUACUCCGUAACCGCUGAAGUCCUCCGCCUCCUCCCAUCGCUCCGCGUCCUCGUCACCACCAGCGCCGGAACAAAUCACAUCGACCUCCGUGAGUGUCGCCGCCGCGGAAUCCAGGUUGCCGGUGCUGGAGGUAUGUUCUCGGAUGAUGUGGCAGAUAUGGCCGUGGCUCUGCUCAUUGACGGAAUGAGGAAAAUCUCAGCGGCAGAUCGGUGGUUAAGGACGCAGAAUCGCCACAAUGCCCCCUGGCAUUUAUUCCCAUUAGGGUCAAAGUUAUCAGGGAAGCAAGUUGGGAUUAUUGGAUUGGGAAGCAUUGGCAUGGAAGUGGCGAAAAGGCUCGAAUCUUUUGGUUGCAUAAUCUCAUACAACUCUAAGCAUAAAAAAACUGCAGUGUCAUAUCCUUUCUAUUCCAGUGUUGUUGAGCUUGCAACUACUUGCGACGUUCUUGUGCUCUGUUGUGAACUAAAUGAGCAAACAAAACACAUAAUUAACAGGGAAGUCAUUCUGGCGUUAGGAAAAGGAGGAUUUAUUGUGAAUAUUGGAAGAGGGGGUCUUAUUGAUGAAAAGGAAUUGGUAAAGUGUUUGAUGGAAGGUGAAAUUGGAGGUGCUGGUUUGGAUGUGUUUGAGAACGAACCUCGUGUUCCUCGAGAGCUCUUUGAAAUGAAUAAUGUGGUUUUGUCUCCACAUGCUGCUGCUAUUACUGCGGAAUCAUUCAUGAAUAUGUGUGAAAUUGCCGGAGGGAAUUUAGAAGCCUUUUUCUCAAAUAAGCCCCUAAUCACUCCAGUUAUGUUGCCUGAAUAACUUGUUCUUUUGACAGCAUAAUAUCGUGCUGUAGAAUUUGAUUUCAUUCCUUCAAUGAUUCUUGAGUCGGAAAUGGCAUAGUUCUAUUUCCAAAACCAUCUCAGGGAAGUGCCUAUCAAACUGUGUUCAUAAAAGGAAGGAGAUGAACAAACUCCAUUUGGGAGGUGUCCAGACGUCCACGGCGUAGGGGGCUACACAACUGACCGAUUGCAUUCUUGACUCUAGUUGGGUCUAUUGAGUUUUCCUUGCGGUGCAAGGUAUUGUUGAAGCAGGUUGGUGAUUUGAGCUGUGAAAUUUUGAGGGUAGAUGAUGUGCCUCUAAAGCAAGCAUUGGAGGGUGAUGACACUGUUGUCUAGUCUUAGAGUAUCCACUUUGUUUUGUGUAUAAAGUUUGAAUUUUAUAGCCAUUUUGGAUGACUGUAAGAUUAACUAUUUAUUUUCAAGUCUUUAACUGUUCUUUAAUAUUAAAAUGUUGACUACU
Molecule: RNA transcript, 1573 nt
Organism: Vigna radiata var. radiata (mung bean)
Lineage: Eukaryota; Viridiplantae; Streptophyta; Magnoliopsida; Fabales; Fabaceae
Gene name: glyoxylate/hydroxypyruvate reductase HPR3-like
Exons: 5
Source: RefSeq, a predicted model, not a curated record